RNAcentral lists this ribosomal RNA (253 nucleotides) under uncultured bacterium. RNAcentral describes it as "partial 16S ribosomal RNA". It matches the Rfam family "Bacterial small subunit ribosomal RNA", at positions 524 to 776 of the family's 1533-position model. The record is from RNAcentral.
GACAGAGGGGGCAAGCGUUGCUCGGAAUCACUGGGCGUAAAGGGCGCGUAGGCGGUUUGUCGCGUCUGCCGUGAAAGUCCGGGGCUCAACUCCGGAUCUGCGGUGGGUACGGGCAGACUAGAGUGAUGUAGGGGAGACUGGAAUUCCUGGUGUAGCGGUGAAAUGCGCAGAUAUCAGGAGGAACACCGAUGGCGAAGGCAGGUCUCUGGGCAUUAACUGACGCUGAGGAGCGAAAGCAUGGGGAGCGAACAGG